Halichondria panicea is the source of this 954-nucleotide long non-coding RNA. RefSeq lists it as uncharacterized. Lineage: Eukaryota; Metazoa; Porifera; Demospongiae; Suberitida; Halichondriidae. The record is from RefSeq and is a predicted model, not a curated record. The transcript is spliced from 4 exons.
GGGGCUUACUCAGUGGUAUCGCCACUGCACAACUUCCUGUAAAAUUAAUUACAAUGGGCGGAGUUCAUAAAUUUGCAAUGCCAAAGAACGCUUUCGCUGCCCAUGUUUGCUGAUGUUCUACAGGAGUUUGGGCCACAGAUGAGACUGAGAAGUAAUGUCUGUCUCAACAUAGUCAUCUUCAGAAUUAGAAUGGCACUGCUCUGAUAAUACAAGAUCGUGUACAUCAUCCUCUUCAAGUUUUCUGGAGAAUCCCAUUGAAUCCCCAGUUCUCCAUUUUCUCGCUUCCAUCCAUGUGUAGUGAGAGCUGAAAUAGGAAUUAACAAGGACUCGCAUGGUAGUCUAUGAGGAGGAUGCAAGGUAGUGUACAAUGUGUUGUAGUGAUCACGGCAGAGACCAACAGCCACCUGGUCAUCCUCAACUGUAAAACAUGCUACUUUUUGUUGCAGCACUUCCUCAAUCUCUUCAACUGAGGCAAGUUUUGUGGUUUUACAAAGUUUUUCGUUGCAAAUAUGUAUACUACAUUUCAACGUCUCCUUGACAAUUUUUGGUUUCCAUCUCGGUUGAAAGUUGGGAUUAUUACUUAUGCUACGUUUUAUUUGCUUUGAGCAACUGUAACAAAUACAAGCACUUUUGUCUAUAGACACACUUUCCACUUUUAACAGUAAUGAAUAUUCAUUCUCACUCAACUUUUGGACGUGUGUAUAUUUCUUUACUGUUUCCAUACAGAGACGACAGGGUCCACAAGAACCUUCGUGGAACGCAUUGAGUCUGGCCAUAUACACUGCUGAUGAUUCUGUAUACUGUGACAAAUUUGAUGUGUGAUGUAUGGCUUUUAAACAUCAUUAUUAUUCAUUGCUCAUUCUUGUGUGUGUUUACAAUUGUGUGUACAUAGUAUUUUUAUGUCAUCUUUGUACAUCGAUAUCUCGGAAAAUAUACAACAUACAUGACUGGAAA